RNAcentral lists this ribosomal RNA (2139 nucleotides) under Triticum aestivum (bread wheat). RNAcentral describes it as "partial small subunit ribosomal RNA". Lineage: Eukaryota; Viridiplantae; Streptophyta; Magnoliopsida; Poales; Poaceae. The record is from RNAcentral.
AUGGAGUACGAGAAUGGCGAGGUUGCUGCCAACGGCAACAGCGUGUGCAUGGCAAUCCAGCAUGCCGACCCGCUUAACUGGGGGAAGGCCGCCGAGGAGCUGACGGGUAGCCACUUGGACGAAGUGAAGAGGAUGGUGGCAGACUACCGCAAGCCCGUGGUGACCAUCGAGGGCGCAAGCCUGAGCAUCGCCAAGGUCGCGGCCGUGGCAGCUGCCGGCGAGGUGGUGGUGGAGCUCGACGAGUCUGCCCGUGCGCGCGUGAAGGCCAGCAGCGACUGGGUCAUGAACAGCAUGAUGAACGGCACCGACAGCUACGGCGUCACCACCGGUUUCGGUGCAACGUCCCACCGGAGGACCAAGCAGGGCGGCGCUCUCCAAAGAGAGCUCAUCAGGUUCCUCAACGCUGGUGCGUUCGGCACCGGCUCCGACGCUCAUGUUCUGCCGGCUGCGACCACGCGUGCAGCCAUGCUCGUUCGCAUCAACACCCUCCUUCAAGGGUACUCUGGGAUCCGGUUCGAGAUCCUCGAGGCGGUUGCCAAGUUGCUCAAUGCCAAUGUCAUGCCGUGCCUGCCCCUUCGGGGCACCAUCACCGCGUCCGGUGACCUGGUUCCGCUCUCCUACAUCGCUGGACUGAUCACCGGCCGCGAGAACUCCGUGGCGAUUGGACCAGAUGGCACGAAGGUGAACGCCGCUGAGGCGUUCAAGAUAGCAGGCAUCCAUGGCGGCUUCUUCGAGCUACAACCAAAGGAAGGUCUCGCCAUGGUGAAUGGCACAGCUGUGGGCUCUGCUCUGGCGUCCACCGUGCUCUUUGAGGCAAAUAUUCUUGCUCUCCUCGCGGAGGUCAUUUCUGCCGUGUUCUGUGAGGUCAUGAACGGCAAACCGGAAUUCACCGAUCACCAUACCCACAAGCUGAAGCACCAUCCAGGACAAAUAGAGGCAGCUGCUAUCAUGGAGCAUAUCUUGGAGGGAAGUUCCUACAUGAAGCUUGCAAAGAAGCUUGGCGAUCUCGACCCACUGAUGAAGCCAAAGCAAGACCGGUACGCGCUCCGGACAUCCCCGCAGUGGCUUGGACCACAAAUCGAAGUUAUCCGUGCUGCCACCAAGUCAAUUGAGCGUGAGAUCAAUUCCGUCAACGACAACCCACUCAUUGAUGUCUCCCGUGGCAAGGCGAUACACGGUGGAAACUUCCAGGGGACACCUAUUGGCGUGUCCAUGGACAAUACCCGCCUCGCAAUAGCGGCAAUUGGCAAGCUCAUGUUCGCUCAGUUCUCCGAGCUUGUCAACGACCUUUACAAUAAUGGUCUACCAUCAAACCUAUCCGGUGGGCACAACCCAAGCUUGGACUACGGGUUCAAGGGUGCCGAGAUCGCCAUGGCCUCUUACUGCUCGGAGCUGCAAUUCUUGGGAAACCCGGUGACCAAUCACGUCCAGAGCGCUGAGCAGCACAACCAGGACGUCAACUCUCUUGGUCUUAUCUCCUUCAGGAAGACUGCAGAGGCCAUUGAAAUCCUCAAGCUCAUGUCCUCGACUUUCUUGGUUGCCCUCUGCCAGGCUAUUGACCUGCGCCACAUUGAGGAGAAUGUCAAGAGCGCCGUCAAAAGUUGUGUGUUGACGGUGGCAAAGAAGACACUAAGCACCAAUUCCACCAGCGGCCUUCACGUAGCGCGCUUUUGCGAAAAAGACCUGCUACAGGAGAUUGAGCGAGAGGCAGUGUUUGCCUACGCCGACGACCCUUGCAGCCCUAACUAUCCACUGAUGAAGAAGCUACGUGGUGUGCUUGUGGAGCGCGCCCUCUCCAAUGGCAUGGCCGAGUUUGAUGCGGAGACCUCCGUGUUCGCAAAGGUUGCCUUAUUUGAGGAGGAGCUACGCAAGACGCUGCCCCCGGCGAUUGAGGCUGCACGUGCUGCCGUAGAGAGCGGCACGGCUGAAAUGCCCAACAGAAUCACUGAGUGCUGCUCAUACCCCCUCUACCGGUUUGUGCGUGAGGAGCUCGGAACUGUAUACCUAACCGGCGAGAAGACACUAUCACCCGGCGAGGAGCUUAACAAGGUGUUCGUGGCCAUGAACCAAGGCAAGCACAUCGAUGCACUGCUUGAGUGCCUCAAGGAGUGGAACGGCGAACCCCUGCCCAUCUGCUAA